UACGUAGGGGGCGAGCGUUGUCCGGAAUUACUGGGCGUAAAGGGCGCGUAGGCGGCCCGCUAAGUCUGCUGUGAAAGGCCGGGGCUCAACCCCGGAAGGUCAGCGGAGACUGGUGGGCUGGAGUGCCGGAGAGGGAUGCGGAAUACCUGGUGUAGCGGUGGAAUGCGUAGAGAUCAGGUGGAACACCGAUGGCGAAGGCAGCAUCCUGGCCGGAGACUGACGCUGAGGCGCGAAAGCGUGGGGAGCGAACGGG
This 253-nucleotide ribosomal RNA is filed under the name uncultured bacterium. Its description in RNAcentral is "partial 16S ribosomal RNA". It matches the Rfam family "Bacterial small subunit ribosomal RNA", at positions 524 to 776 of the family's 1533-position model. The record is from RNAcentral.